RNAcentral lists this ribosomal RNA (521 nucleotides) under uncultured bacterium. RNAcentral's name for it is "bacterial SSU rRNA". It matches the Rfam family "Bacterial small subunit ribosomal RNA", at positions 988 to 1509 of the family's 1533-position model. The record is from RNAcentral.
CCAGAGAACUUUCCAGAGAUGGAUUGGUGCCUUCGGGAACUCUGAGACAGGUGCUGCAUGGCUGUCGUCAGCUCGUGUUGUGAAAUGUUGGGUUAAGUCCCGCAACGAGCGCAACCCUUAUCCUUUGUUGCCAGCGGUCCGGCCGGGAACUCAAAGGAGACUGCCAGUGAUAAACUGGAGGAAGGUGGGGAUGACGUCAAGUCAUCAUGGCCCUUACGAGUAGGGCUACACACGUGCUACAAUGGCGCAUACAAAGAGAAGCGACCUCGUGAGAGCAAGCGGACCUCAUAAAGUGCGUCGUAGUCCGGAUUGGAGUCUGCAACUCGACUCCAUGAAGUCGGAAUCGCUAGUAAUCGUGGAUCAGAAUGCCACGGUGAAUACGUUCCCGGGCCUUGUACACACCGCCCGUCACACCAUGGGAGUGGGUUGCAAAAGAAGUAGGUAGCUUAACCUUCGGGAGGGCGCUUACCACUUUGUGAUUCAUGACUGGGGUGAAGUCGUAACAAGGUAGGCGUAGUGCU